This 497-nucleotide ribosomal RNA is filed under the name uncultured bacterium. RNAcentral's name for it is "partial 16S ribosomal RNA". It matches the Rfam family "Bacterial small subunit ribosomal RNA", at positions 28 to 507 of the family's 1533-position model. The record is from RNAcentral.
GAUGAACGCUGGCGGCGUGCCUAAUACAUGCAAGUCGAGCGAACGGACGAGAAGCUUGCUUCUCUGAUGUUAGCGGCGGACGGGUGAGUAACACGUGGAUAACCUACUUAUAAGACUGGGAUAACUUCGGGAAACCGGAGCUAAUACCGGAUAAUAUUUUGAACCGCAUGGUUCAAAAGUGAAAGACGGCCUUGCUGUCUCUAAUCGAUGGUUCCGCGCUGCAUUAGCUAGUUGGUAAGGUAACGGCUUACCAAGGCAACGAUGCAUAGCCGACCUGAGAGGGGGAUCGGCCACACUGGAACUGAGACACGGUCCAGACUCCUACGGGAGGCAGCAGUAGGGAAUCUUCCGCAAUGGGCGAAAGCCUGACGGAGCAACGCCGCGUGAGUGAUGAAGGUCUUCGGAUCGUAAAACUCUGUUAUGAGGGAAGAACAUAUGUGUAAGUAACUGUGCACAGCUUGACGGUACCUAAUCAGAAAGCAACGGCUAACUACGUG